CUGUCAGUAUUUACUAGACCAACAAUGAGCUGACCUUGAUUAUCUGAAUGGUAACUUGAGUGGAAAAUGCACUGAUGUAUCUGAAGUCAGUUUGAUGGUAAUCCUUGUCAAGGUUGCCUAUCUGCAGUGACCAAGGUGCUGAAGUGGCUGCAAUACUGGGAAGACUGUGGAUUGCCAGAGUUCCUGUACAUGUAACCCUGACAGGCAGAACCAAAGCUGGGACCUCUAGAACUUC
Pelodiscus sinensis (Chinese soft-shelled turtle) is the source of this 235-nucleotide non-coding RNA. Lineage: Eukaryota; Metazoa; Chordata; Testudines; Trionychidae. The record is from RefSeq and is a predicted model, not a curated record.